AUAACAGCACAUAGCCAGAUGGUCAUUUAGUGUACCUCAUUUAGUGAAACCUACCUUCUUUAAAGCAACAAUCUUUCCAGUUUCAAGGUCUCGAUCUCUGUACAUGCUGUUGUAAGUCCCCUGUAUUUUACAAUUCAUUUUAUAGAUUGCAUGCAUUCAUAUAAACCAACCAAAAGCCCUUUAUUACAUUGUUUCUUAUUUGCAGCUGACAGAAGCAUUUGGGAAGUUCUAUGGAAGAUCAAAACAGUGAACCAGCAAUGAUAAAUCUCGUGCUGGUGUUCAUGACAACUGCAUCAAGUAUAUAUCACCAUUCUUACUUUUUUUUUUCUAAUUUAAUUUAUUCUUCUUAAUUUUAAUGUAGUUGCUAUCUCAUUGUAGGCACACAUAGGUUUUGUCUUUGGUAACUCAAUUUUACCCAUUUGAGGAGAUAAGUUUGUUAUUAUUUUUUUGCUUUUUUCCUUUCUGAGUGUGGAUAUGGAAACUUCAUGCACAAUUUUAUUAUAAUUAUUUUCCAGGUCAUAUGAAUGAUUAAAUGUCAACACUCGACAUGCACCUGAAUUCUAUAUUUUCUGGUGCUUGUAGAGUGUCAUGUAUUGAUUGAUUAAUGGUUUGGUUGAACACAAGUCACUUGAUACUUCAUGCAUACUUUGGAUCAUUUUAAAUUGUUAAUGGUUCAGUUUAGAAUUCAAGCGAUGUCUAACGUUUAAUGAUCAAUUUCACAGGUGAUGACCUUACAUGUGACAAUGCAAAUCUUGAAGGUGAAUCAGGGUCACGCACAAUUCUUGGUUGACAGGUCAAAGGAAUUGUCACAGAGCAGGUUGUUAUUAUGCUUCACCUGUUCAAAAUAGCAAUAUACUCUCUUUAUUUUGUUUAUUGUAACAUUAUAUAUUGUAAGAAGUAGAAUUGUAUGACAUUAAAUUUUAUGCAAUGGAUUGUAUUUUUUAUAUGGGAUUUUAUUUCUAUUA
This 965-nucleotide long non-coding RNA is filed under the name Lactuca sativa (garden lettuce). RNAcentral describes it as "long non-coding RNA (LSAT_LNC004242)". The record is from RNAcentral. Lineage: Eukaryota; Viridiplantae; Streptophyta; Magnoliopsida; Asterales; Asteraceae.